Non-coding RNA from Xyrichtys novacula (pearly razorfish), 5344 nucleotides. The record is from the annotation of a GenBank genome assembly. NCBI's taxonomy places the organism in Eukaryota, Metazoa, Chordata, Actinopteri, Labriformes, Labridae.
GAAAAAUGAAGUACGACUGCAGAGCGGCAAAAAGGUCACAUUUGGAAAAACAAACUAUACGACGACAGCGUCCUCGUUUGAUAUCCUGAUUGGCAAUCUUCAAAUGCAGCCAAACAAAGAGGAACAAAAGGAGACAAACAAAGGAAAGGUAAAAUUGAAGUUGUCAGUUUGUACCUGAGUUGUCCCAAACUAUCCCAUUCUGCAGCCAGGCGGGGUUUCUGUCAGUCGGCAGCAAACUUUUGCAUCUCUCUGCCUCUGUCUCCUCCGCCUUUCCAGAUCUUUGUCUGGACUUUGAAAGAGCUUCUGGUCUGAGGAUGAGAAUGACACAGUGAGAGGACAAAUACAGAUAUUAAAAUCAUUCACAAUUUAGUGCUGAAGAGGAGGGGGAAGGAGGCAGGUGCAGGGUGAAAAUUAAAGGCGGUGUUUGAUCUCAGCGGAAAAAAGAAAUGAUGUAUGAAUGCUUGUAAAGCUUAGGAGGAGGCAUGUUGUUCUUUUGUGUGAAUGUUGGAGCACACAAAGACUAAGACUGACUUGUCUUCAGUUUGACCCUCUGUACCAUCUCAUGAUAGUUUCUCUUUAUUUGUUUACUUUAGAGAUAUGCAAGGUCAAAUAUAGAGCUCUAAAAAUGCCCUUAUAUAAGGACUAUUAGAAGAAACUGUUUCCUUAAGUGAUUUUAUUUGUUAAUACUGGUUGAAAAGUGGUCAUAAAGUGCAUUAGAAAAGGUAAUAUGCCCACUGACUUACUUUCACAUCACUUACAUCUCAGCAGAAUCCACUGUUUGCCACCUUUUUCUCACUGAAGUGCUAAAAAUCGGAGUAAAUGCAGCUGUUGUGUGAAGAAACUAGUGUAAUCAGGAUUUCUCUAAUGAAGGAAUUUAUGUGGAAACAGGAAAGCAACAGUUUUUUAUGAAUCAAUUGUUAUCUCAAUUUCCCAUGAGUGCAAAUUGCUGUCCUUAAAUUGCUUUCUUUUUUCAAAUACAAAGAAACACAAAUCAUACAAAAAUGUCUGGAAAAAAGUACAAAUUUUCACACUUAAGAUGCUGGAACAAACUAAUUUCAGAUGUUUUUGCUUGAAAAAAUCAAUAAAAUGAAUAAUUAGAUUCUCUCAGUUUUCAUCAUCGAUUCUCUCCCAAUCAGUUUGCACCACCUGAUAUGUAACCAAGCCAGAACUUGACCAUCAUUGUCCAUUCUUCUCUAAACUCCUCUGUUAUCCUUUGCACAGUACAAUUGUGUUUCCUAAUCCACACUGCAGCGUGCAUGCUUUGCUUCUUCAUAAUGUCAUACCCAUUUUCUGCUUCCUCGCUCGCAAACACCAUAUUCAUGCACAAUUUGACAUAAUAGCAGAGUUAAAAACAGGAAAUUAUAAGGUAAUGUCUCACCGAGGGCUAUAGUCACAUUAAAAAAUGCUCUCCCAGUGAUCUGUAAGAUUGCUCGCUGCAGUGAGGUUUAAUAGUUUGAGCAUAGCACCCCCUGCAGGCACGUAUUAUUCUUUCCUAAUAACACCCUCAGUGCUCGGACUGAAGCAGAGCCUCUCAUUGUUACCCUUUCACUGCAAUUACAGGCCUUUCUACUUUGAUUGGUGGGUAAUUGAAUUGGUUUGAGCCUGUAUGAUUUCCUUCCGAAUUUGCCACUCAUAUUCCAAUCUUGGCUCCGGAUCAGACAAAGGCCCGUCUCCCAGUAAUUAAAGACGCCAAAGCCAGGUGUAGAACUGGGGGAACUGGGGAACUAUAGCUGGAUGAAUGGGACUGAUUAGGUGUUUAGUGAAAAUGAGAUUUUCUGGCUCAAAGACAAAGUGCAGCCUCUCACUCGCUGCUCCGUGUUCGACGGGGAGGCAAUUGACUGCUGUUGAUGAGGAGCAUGAGGUAAAGGCCUGAAAAUGACUUUCUGCAUUCAGAGCAUUUACAAAAGGAGCCAAAGUGUGAGUUAAAACCUGAGAGAUACUUUUCAAGCAUGUAACAGGCAGGUAAUCAGGGGGAAAAGUAGCUGUUUUAGAUGCACGAAGAAACUGGUGAAACCUGACAAUAAAAAAGUGUAGACUGGUGCAACUUCUCUGUAAAACCGUACCAGUUUAAUCCCACCAGCUCUCGAAACAUGGAAAAUAUGUCACCUCUAAAUCCUAAAGUUUAUCUAGUCAUGGUUUAGAGAUUAUUUUGAUUGGUAAAACUUGUCAAAGAAAAUAGUGGCAGGUUGUAGCUUCAGUAAAAAAACAGCAAGUUGUAGACACAUUUAAAAGUCAGUUAAAUGUCAAAUAGGCUUCACAGAUUUCAGCACAGAUUGAGAAAUGGUCAGUUUUAGGAUCACUCUGUGGAUUUUUCAUUUUGCUUCUGAAUUCAGCUCCGACAAUUUAGGGCAACAAAAGUUUAAUAAAGAAUGCUGUGAUCUCAAAACUUUCAAGGAAGAAGAAAAGUUUGAGUUUUAUUUUUCGCAGAAUAGCUUUGUAGAUAAAAUGAGAUGAAUGUCUAUGUUGGCAGACUGAAUCACUUCUCUUCCUACUCUCUUUUUUGAUUAGGGUCCCCAUUAGCACCAACAUAAACAUCAGCUUUUCUUCCUGGGGUCCAACACACACAGUAUAACUCAAUAAAACAGAUGCAUGAUAGUUAAUUCCAAGACAAGGGUACAAAAAAUACAUUCACGCUUUGCUAAACAAGCGUGUUUUGGUUUCCCCAAAAUUUGCAUGUAAUUUCGUUUGUUUAAAUGCCAGAAAAUGUUCAAUAAUAAAUCCAGUUUUUAACGACUCAAUGCUUCAUGAUGAAAGUUUUUUUGAGCAUUAAGGCAGAGGCAUUCACAAAAAAAUUCUUAGUUAGAGUCUUCUUUCUACCUUGUCCUUGCUGAUUAUACCAAGACUUUCCUUUACUCUUAAAUACUUGUAACAUUUUCAGCUUUUUAGUGAAUAUCUGCCUUUAAAGGACAAGGUAAUUGAUCAAACAUUCAAGUAUUUCAAAGAUAUUACCAACUGAAUUAUUGGGGCAAUUCUGCAAACAGUUUGAAGUCAACCACAUACACUAGAUGUCACGAAUUGUGCAAUAUUUUCAUCAGUUUUUGGUUGAAGUAACCAAGAAAAUAAUUUUCAGUUGUUCAUGGUACAAAAAACCCCCACUCAAAAAUAAGGGGCCCUUCCUUCCUGCAUAUUCACACCACAUUCCACACUUCCAUUAAAAGUGAAUGAGGCAACAACACCGUGCACUGGUUAGAGGUUAACGACAGCUGUGGUCGAGUCAAGGUCAGCGUACUUUGAGUGGUGGAUGUACGCCAACUGACUGAGUGGAAAAUGAGAGUUUUUUCCCCCUUCAUUGAGACUGGAAUGGAUUUUAAUCAACACAUUAUGCCAGUUGUUAAUUGCUUUUGCCGCCUGCUGCUAAAAUAAUUUGCUACUUUUUUAUUGUAGUAGUAGCCAUCUGUUUCAAAACAUGGGGACAGGAUCGGGCCCCGGACCUGGGGUGGAUGUUGACAUGAGAUACAGGCGGCUAAUUUGCACUGCCGCCACCUUAUUUAUGAGGCGAAGAAUGUGUGGAAAGGAGGGAAAGAUUCACGACGAGGGGCUAAAACGGGGAGCGGACAGGGCAAUCUGACUAGAUUUACGGAAACACUUGAUCCAUAUUCACAUGAGGGAAAGGAGCCUUCAUUUAGACUGUUUCUUAUACCUGCAGAUAAAAUGUUUAGUCACUACUAUACAGACUAUCAGCCAGAUAAAGUAAUACAACUUUUCCUUUGAGAAUCAAUGAGCUCCUCUUGAGGCGUCUAUUUGUUUGCUUCAAUUGCUUGAGGCUGAAGACACAAACUCUAAACAAUGCCUAGAAAGGAUGAUAAUGAAGAGCUUAGUGAGGAGACAUUUACCCUGUAUUUACUCUGAUUGGGUUUCCUGUUCAGGGACACAGCUCUGGUGGUAUGGGGGGGUUACUGGUCAUAAUGGCCCCUCUCUUCCAUUAAGGGUUAAGGUCAGGGCCAGUUUAUUACUUUUUGUCUCUUCUGGUUUCAAUAAAAGUUUCUAUUUGGUGGCUCUGACUCAGUGGUAAAAUGGACCACCCUCUAUCUAGUUGGGAGGUUGUGGGUUUGAUCUCCACCUCCUUUGGUCUAGAUUCGGCACCCUGGCUCUUGAAGGAAUAGCCUGCAGUGUGUUAGUGAGUGUGUGUGUGAAUAAUUAAUUGUACAGUAGCCUUGCAUGGAUCUUAAUUAGUGCACCAACAUGUGAGUGGCAUGUAGUGUAAAGUGCACGAGUAGACAGAAGGCAAUAGAGCUGUUGUAAAAGACAGUCCAUUUUUUAAUUUGUUUGCAAAUAUGGAUUUAGUUACUGGUGGCAAACAUGAGAUCAGAUAUGCAAUUAAAGUAUCAUCUUACAUUGUGCUCACCAUUAUGUGCAAUGUUACAUUUAAGUAUCGUCUCAUAUACUCUUUUUUUUAAUCGUGUGCAUUGGAAUUUUUUUGUCAUGUAAAAUAUUGCUUCUUAGUAUUUUUGUAUAAUUUUGUCCAUCAUUCAUCCUGUUCAUACUUUCCAGAUCAGGUUCUUUCUUACUGCAGUUUUGUCUCAUUGUUCAUGAUCAUGUACAAUAUUACUCACUAUAUUCUUGUGGAUUAUCACUUUCCAUUACUGCUAUCAUAUCCCUUUCACUAUCGUGUACAAUCACUAUCCAUAAUAUGUGCAGGAUUGCUUAUUCACAGUCAUAUAUUUUAUCAUGUGAAGCAUUACUUUCCAAUAUCGGGCUAUUAUUUGCUCAAUAUCAUAGACAUUUUUAAUUAUUUAAGGUGUAAUGCGGCAUUGGAAUAUAAUUUUUGGUGUAAAAUAACUUUUUAUUUUCAUGCACAAAAUGCACAAAACUAUUUUUUUUUGGGGGGGUUUUUACAAAAUAAUUUGAGACACAUUUAUUACCUUGUGCAACACAAUUUUUUUCUCUAAUGUGCAAUAUUUUAAUCCACAUCAUGUUAAAAGUGUUUUUUUAUUACUGUGUCUUUUUAUCUUUAACUUUGUCUAUUACAUUAAGUGUAUUACAUCAAGUGCAAAACUACUUUUACUUUAUGUGCAGUUUGACUUACUGGUAUUUGACACAUUUAAUCACAACCACGUGAACAGUAAUGUAUGAUGUCUGUCGUUAUCUUUGCAUUCUCUAUUAGUUUUUAUGUAAUUUCUAUUGCUCCUUUUCAGCUAAUCUGCUCAUGUUUCUAACUCAUAUACAAAGCUGAUGUUGAUUUAUUUGACGUUAGUUAAAUCUGAAAUACUUUAUAUUCUGCAGACUGGGCAAGUCUCAAGACUGAAUUUGCAGCUUGAGUCUGACUCAAGUCGAGCCAUGUGCAUCAAGUCCACAAUCUCUGGCUCACACAGCGGUGAAAGGACUGAAGUGCAGAAUAUUUGGA